GGCCUCGCAGCUCAGAUGGUAGAGCACUCGGGGUACUAACGCGAAGGUGGUGGCCAUGCGCGGGUUCGAAUCCCGCUGGGUCCA
Molecule: transfer RNA, 84 nt
Filed under: Fasciola hepatica (liver fluke)
Lineage: Eukaryota; Metazoa; Platyhelminthes; Trematoda; Plagiorchiida; Fasciolidae
Rfam family: tRNA
About the family: Transfer RNA (tRNA) molecules are approximately 80 nucleotides in length. Their secondary structure includes four short double-helical elements and three loops (D, anti-codon, and T loops). Further hydrogen bonds mediate the characteristic L-shaped molecular structure. tRNAs have two regions of fundamental functional importance: the anti-codon, which is responsible for specific mRNA codon recognition, and the 3' end, to which the tRNAs corresponding amino acid is attached (by aminoacyl-tRNA synthetases). tRNAs cope with the degeneracy of the genetic code in two manners: having more than one tRNA (with a specific anti-codon) for a particular amino acid; and 'wobble' base-pairing, i.e. permitting non-standard base-pairing at the 3rd anti-codon position.
Source: Rfam by way of RNAcentral